This 125-nucleotide non-coding RNA is filed under the name Amorphochlora amoebiformis. Lineage: Eukaryota; Cercozoa; Chlorarachniophyceae. The record is from RNAcentral.
GUUACAUUUUUUUCUUUUUUUUUUUGCCGCUUUUAUUUUUCUUUUAUUUCGAAUUUUUUCCAUCUCGUGCAUGUUGGUUGGGUUUCUCAAGAUUUCGGUCAAAAAGACUAGAAAAAAGAGAGAAG